AACUGCGGCAGCUUUGAGCUGUCCUUAAAGCAGGAGGCAACGUGGACCUUGCUGGACUGGAUCAAGGGGGAGCCCUGGGACUCCCUGGUGUAUGGGGUGUUCCAGGCCCUGGAGGAGUUGAGCAAGCUGAGGCCACCUCUGAGGCGG
Long non-coding RNA from Gavia stellata (red-throated loon), 147 nucleotides. RefSeq lists it as uncharacterized. The record is from RefSeq and is a predicted model, not a curated record. NCBI's taxonomy places the organism in Eukaryota, Metazoa, Chordata, Aves, Gaviiformes, Gaviidae. The transcript is spliced from 3 exons.